AUGGCUCAGAUUGAACGCUGGCGGCGUGCUUAACACAUGCAAGUCGAACGCGAAAGGGACUUCGGUCCUGAGUAAAGUGGCGCACGGGUGAGUAACGCGUGGAUAAUCUGCCCUUAUGAUCGGGAUAACAGUUGGAAACGGCUGCUAAUACCGGAUACGCUCAAAAUGAACUUUUUGAGGAAAGAUGGCCUCUGCUUGCAUGCUAUCACGUAAGGAUGAGUCCGCGUCCCAUUAGCUUGUGGCGGGUAACGGCCCACCAAGGCAACGAUGGGUAGCCGAUUUGAGAGGAUGAUCGGCCACACUGGAACUGAAACACGGUCCAGACUCCUACGGGAGGCAGCAGUGGGGAAUAUUGCGCAAUGGGCGAAAGCCUGACGCAGCGACGCCGCGUGAGGGAUGAAGGUUUUCGGAUCGUAAACCUCUGUCAGAAGGGAAGAAACUACGUUGUGCUAAUCAGCAGCGUACUGACGGUACCUUCAAAGGAAGCACCGGCUAACUCCGUGCCAGCCGCCGC
RNAcentral lists this ribosomal RNA (514 nucleotides) under uncultured bacterium. Its description in RNAcentral is "bacterial SSU rRNA". It matches the Rfam family "Bacterial small subunit ribosomal RNA", at positions 19 to 518 of the family's 1533-position model. The record is from RNAcentral.